AAACUUUUUCAAUUAAAAAAAAAAAAGAAUAGGGUCACUCUGUAUCGCAUACUAGUAGCCAUUACAAGCUAUGUUGGGUCUCUCCAGGCAAAACAAAUAGGGAAUAUUUAAGGAGAAGCCUGUGCUAGCAGCAUCACCCAUAAAGGUAGUCCUUGACUUUAUUAGUGGGACCAGAAUUUCCAUUGCUAAGCGUGAAAGGUGACUGGGUGACUUUGAGCCUCACUCUCAGCCCAACUCACCUCACUGGUUUGUAACAGGAGGAAGGUACGUUGGGUAUGUUAUUUGUAAAAAUAAUGAAGGUAGGAUAUAAAUAGAGCCUUGGUAGUACAGUGGUCUAAAGCACCCUGUUAUUAAGACCAGCUGCCUGCAAUUACUGCAGGUUUGAAUCUCGCCAGGCUCAAGGUUGACUCAGCCUUCCAUCCUUUCUAAGGUAGGUAAAUUGAGGACCCAGUUGUGGGGGCAAUAAGCUGACUUUGUAUAAAAUAUACAAAAGAAUGAAGGCUAUUGCUUAGUGCAUUGUAAGCCGCCCUGAGUCUCCGGAGAAGGGCGGCAUAUAAAUCAAAUUAAAAAAAAAAAAAUAGAUGGAGCAGAGUUUUCCUUCUCACUGUUAGAGAAGGAGUUGUCUUGCCAAUAGGAAGUCAACCUGCUCCUGCUAUGCUCUUCUAUCUUAAACUCUGUUGUACGCCAUCUUUCCUUGGCCCUUACAACUUAGGCUCAGGUUUCCUAAACGGCCAAAUCUGGAAAGCACUCCAUUUCUUCACUCAGCUUUCUGUCUGGCACAACAACAUUUCUUUCUUCACUAUGGCGAAGAGGACAAAAGGAAUUCUGAUUUUGACAAGACUGCAAAGGCCCCCCUGGUUUGAUGAUUGGUAACCAAGGCAACUGGGCUCUCCUUGAAAUAAUUGCUUAGUGCACCGACAACACCCACCUGCCCCCUCCAUUUUGUGUAGAAAACUGCCUUGCGUUUCGUUAGAAGGGGCAUUGUGAAAAAAAAAAAAACAAAAGACAAGAAAAGGAGCUGGCAGUUCCACUGCUGAACAAGGACACAACUCUGGCCCUUUUAGCAAACUGUUGAACAAAAGAUUAGAAAAUGGCUGCAUCCAUCUUGCUCACCCUUGUAGGCUCAUUCAGAAUUCCCCUUUUAUCUCUGAGAUUCUGCUAAAAAGGUUGGGGGGGGGUUGUCUCCUUUGCUUAUUAGCUUGUGCUUGUCAAUUUUGGCAAAUAUUUGACUGGAUGGAUUAGUUUUCUGCUCCCGUCUGCAUGCCUCUUCUCCAGAGAAGCUUCUAAAGAUGAUAAAUUGAAGGGGAAAAUGUUACAGCGCAGACCACAUAAAAUGAGUCUGGGGUCCUUGCAUAGGCUCUCUGAAUAAGCUAUUGUGUGUGUGUUUGUUUUAUUCUGCAAAGGGGGUAGAUAUAACACACGCACAGCCCAAUUUUAGGCCACAUCAUCAAGAGCCAAUUGAAACUAUUUCAAUAUAUUUUCGACACAGAUGUUACUGGAAAGCCUUUUAAAAAGGGGAUCCUAUAUGGAGAGUGGAGAAAGCCUGAAGACCACCCCAUGUUUAAAACUAAAAUUAUUACAUCCUGCCUUGAUUUUGUACAACUGAAGGCAAUAUACAUAAUGGUUUUCCCACAAUUUCAUUUCAUUUAUUUAACUUGUAUCCUACCUUUAUUAUUUUUACAAAUAACUCAGCAAACUUAUCCAAGACAUCUUCCUUCCUCCUGUUUUCCCCACAAUAAUAACCCUGCAAAAGGGUGUUUGAUCUGAGAGAAAAUGACUGGCUCAAAGUCACCCAGCUGGCUUUCAUGCUUAAAGGACUAGAACUCCCAAUGCCUGGGUUCUUAGUCCAGCACCUUAAUCACGACACCAAGCUGAUCAGUAUUUUUUGUCUUUUCUGCCACCUAAAGAUCACCUGGAGUUUUGCAACCAAGACCCUCAACUCAAAAUUCAACCUUGUGUUCCUGAAAUAUCAAAAGGCCUAUGUCUUGUGCUAUUUCUCAGCUCAGCUGUUUCAGUUGACCUGGAAAAGAUGAGGCCAAGGCCACUGGUGGGCCUGAGUGAGUAGUUAGUGACAGGAAAAUGGCUAGAGGCAAAUCUCUAAACUCUGAGACCUUCUCUUUAGAGUCUGAAGACCCUCCAAUGCAACUGUCAAAACCUAAUUCUUCCUGCUAUACUGAGCUUUCAGAAUAAAUUUGAAUUAUAAAUGA
Pantherophis guttatus is the source of this 2207-nucleotide non-coding RNA. Lineage: Eukaryota; Metazoa; Chordata; Lepidosauria; Squamata; Colubridae. The record is from RefSeq and is a predicted model, not a curated record.